RNAcentral lists this ribosomal RNA (192 nucleotides) under uncultured bacterium. Its description in RNAcentral is "partial 16S ribosomal RNA". The record is from RNAcentral.
UUUUUACAAGGGCCCGUCGUACGCUGCUGCCCGGCCGCCUCGGGCUCGCGGGAAUUUGACUGACUGAGUGCUCAGCAGCCGCGGGUGGUGCAGUAGGAUUGGGGUGAAGUCGUAACAAGGUAACCUCAGUCAGUCAAGUCGUAACAAGGUACUCUUAACCAGUCAAGUCGUAACAAGGUAGCCUCCUAAAAA